GUACUCUCACACUCCCACUCUUUUUGGAUUGGGAGCGGUGGACUUGGGUGUUUGCUGCUUUACUGUGGCUCACCUCAAAUGGAGUAGUGCACCUCUCGGUUGGACAUAGUACGGCGUGAUAAGUGUCUUCGCCGGCGCCUCACUUGAGGGUGGCCGAUCGGGAGCUCUGUGCUUCAAACCGUCUUCGGACAAUUCUGACA
RNAcentral lists this unclassified non-coding RNA (200 nucleotides) under uncultured Sebacina. RNAcentral describes it as "sequence contains ITS2". Lineage: Eukaryota; Fungi; Basidiomycota; Agaricomycetes; Sebacinales; Sebacinaceae. The record is from RNAcentral.